RNAcentral lists this ribosomal RNA (371 nucleotides) under uncultured Glomeromycotina. RNAcentral's name for it is "LSU rRNA". Lineage: Eukaryota; Fungi; Glomeromycota. The record is from RNAcentral.
UUGAAAGGGAAACGAUUGAAGUCAGUCGUACUGGCGGGCAAUCAGCCUUUUGGGUAUGAUUAUGUGGGGCUUGAGGAGUUAAUCACCUUUAUCUUUGCAUAUUUGUGCACUUUGGGUGUACUUGCUCGUUUGGUAGGUUAACAUCAAUUUUAGUCAUCAUAAAAUGGCUGGAGGAAUGUAGCUUCGAUCUCGUAUUGAAGUGUUAUAGCCUUUGGUAGACGUGAUGAUUGGGAUUGAGGAUUGCAACGGAUACCCUUCGGGCUACCUGUCUGAUCUCUGGAAGUUGCUCUGGUGCUGAAAGCUUGCUUAUGGUAUCAAAGUUGACGUCUAAUAGGUUAGAAUGGGUUAAAUUCGUUAAGGAUGUUGACGUA